Triticum aestivum (bread wheat) is the source of this 1433-nucleotide long non-coding RNA. RefSeq lists it as uncharacterized. The record is from RefSeq and is a predicted model, not a curated record. The transcript is spliced from 4 exons. Lineage: Eukaryota; Viridiplantae; Streptophyta; Magnoliopsida; Poales; Poaceae.
CCGGGUGCUGCUCCCGCGGAUCCUCCCUCCGUCGCCCGGGCGGGGCAUGGGUUGGGAGGGUCGCUCAGGUCCGCCUUCGCCGCUAGGGUUACUGCGGCCGCCGCCCCAUGGCCCCCAUCCCUGCUCGUUCAUGCGUCCCUGCGCCGCCAUGUCCGCCUUCUCCCAUGUCUUCUCUUCCCCUCAUCAACUUCCCCUUCUACAGGGUGGACAAGGUCAACCUCCUGCAUCCCAUCGUGAGAGAGAUCCCGACCGCGCCCUGAAGCCCAAGGCCAGGAUGGCCCGGGUCCUCCAGGGGCUGGAAGCGGACGUCAAUGCUCAGUUUUAUAACAAGCAGCAAUGGCCUUGCGAGCAAAAGCCACUAUCCAUCAAUGACAAGAAAGAGGAGAUCCACAGGAAGAGUGGCACUUGCUGGACGUUGGGUGGAGGAGAUCCGGUGCCGAUGGACCGCUCGCGCCGGUGUCUGAGCUCUUGGAGCCGCCAGACUCACCGUCGCCAUAUGGAGACAGGUUGAUGGAGGAUGAUGGUGUUCGGGUCAGUGAGUGGAAGGCGGCGCCAAUGAGGAUGUGGAGGAGGACUUGGUCGAGCCGGGUCCGUGAAGAUUGUUUUUUAGAUGGCCGCAUGAUGCAGGAGCAGUAGAGGCGUUGUGUUGAGCCUUGGGUUCUUUCGUCGAUCAGUUAGUACGUGCCCUUGGCGUUGUGUUGAGCCUUGGGUUCUUCCGUCGAUCAGUUAGUACGUGCCCUUGGUCGCCUGCACGCCUCAGGUUCAUCUCGUGUAUCAUGAAGAAACUUCGACAGUAAAGAGAGCAGAGCUAUUAUCUCAACAACAGAAUCUAGAUAAUUUAAUCCAUGAGCAUUUUCAUGCAUAUGCUUUUAUUGGUGUAUUUGGAGUGUUUAUGAUGCUGAGCCAUGUGAGAACUAUUCAACUUUGGGGGGGGGGGAUCAAAGUGAGCUCGUUCCUGACAGAGGAAUUAUUCAGGAACAAAAGGUGCUGACAAUCUAAUAGCAAAGGAAUUGACCCUCAAAUUUGAAACCAAGAUUACAGUUGGCGAACAAUUUGCAAUUUAUGUAGUCACACCAAUGUGACCUUAAGGAGUCCCUACCUCAGUCUCUGCAAGAAAUUCCUUUCUUUCGGUUAACCCCUAUUUUGAAAAAGCAUUAUAGCAAAUACUCCUUUAUAUUAUGGGACGGAGGGAGUAUUAGGAAACCCCAAAUCUAAGAUUUAUUGAGAUAUGGAAAUCUCAUUCGACCUUGUAAUUUCAAUCUUCUCCCAGUGAAUAUAUUUCCAUUUGAGUGCAUGUCGGCAUAUUCUCUGAUGUGUGCCCUUUUUGGUUUUCAAUACUUAGGGCUGCUCGCGGUGCCAGUCGGCGCGCCCAUCCGCGUGUUACUUCAGCAUGCCAUUUUUAUAGAUAUUUUGGAAUUUACAUUCUGAUGGUU